Molecule: long non-coding RNA, 1161 nt
Organism: Lagenorhynchus albirostris (white-beaked dolphin)
Lineage: Eukaryota; Metazoa; Chordata; Mammalia; Artiodactyla; Delphinidae
Exons: 5
Source: RefSeq, a predicted model, not a curated record
CAGAGCGGGCAGGGAAGUCUGUCCUACCCUUCGCGUCCGAGUGGGGCCGGGGACUUCGUCUCCGGAGCCCCCAGAGUCCCCACAGCCUCGGCGGGAGGAACUCGUGUGGAGUUCGGGAGCGCUCAGGACGCUCGCAGGCAUUUCAGAGCCUGAGGUUCGAAUCCCAGCUUCCAGAGAGACUCCGCGACUUUGGACAACCGGUCUCGGGGCCUCAGUUUCCCCUCUAGGGUGAGGCACCCAGGAGGCGGAGGGAAAGGCUGUGGUUCCUUUACUAGCCCGACCCCUCGGGCGGUCCACGGCUGCCCUGCAUGGAGCUGACGCUCAACGAGGGUUGUUGAAUGAAUGUGUGUAAGGAGCCCUGAGAAGCCACAAAUCUUGGACACCUGGCUGGAGGAUCUGUCCGUCCUGGCCCCAGCGUCUUAGAGAGGUACCUGCACAGCAAUGGAUAUUUCCAGUUGUUCUCCAUUCUCGUCAACACUUGGUAUGGUCAGUCAUUUUAAUUUUAGACAUCUAACAGGGGCCCUGGCUGAGUCUGGAACUACAGGAACAUUUUACAGUUGGUCACCUUCCUUCGGCAGUAAGUGGAUGCGAAGAAGCACGUGGAAACUGUCUGCUUCCUCGAGGAGGCAGUCUGCCCGGGCACCCUGCGUGCCCUGUGUGAGUGUGCCACACCAGGCACUCUGGCCGCCACGGAGCAGUGUCUGCAGCUGCUCGCUGGGGCGACCACAUAGGUCAAGGUGGCCGUGGCUGCCGCUUGCGCAGGAAGUGCUGAGUCCUUGGCUCCGCACACCCCCCUGCAUGAGGAGGCCCCAGGGAGUUGCAUGGAGACUGUGGGAGCGAGGGAAGCAGCACAACUCUGCCGGUGCAUCUGCUGUGGCUGUGAGAGCAGAAGGUCUACCUCUGAUCAGCACACCUCUCCCUCCACUGUCAGCACCCGUGCAGUGGCAUCAGGUUCACUCCCUGCAUCCUCAGGUUCUUUCUUGAAAGUGAGGUAAAGGGAGCCCUCAGCGCUCACACGUCUCAGACACACCUCCUGGGUCGGGACCUGUGGUCUGCUGUCCUGAUCCGGGUCCUCACUAGCCAUCACUGGAAAAGUGCCACUGCUGUCUACCUGCGCCUACCUGCCUGUCAGCCCUCUGCCAUGAUGACAGUCUCAAGACA